GAUGGCAGAUGAUCGCUGGUGAGCCACAGUGGCUUGCUGGAGGAAAGUCCGAACACCAUACGGCGACAUGCCGCGUAAAAUACGCGGGUGCUGCAGUUGUAAAAUUGCGGCGACGGAAAGUGUCACAGAAAAGACACCGCCGGUUCUUUGGCAACAAAGGCACAGGCAAGGUUGAAAAGGCGAGGUAAGAGCUCACCGCUCGCGGAGCAAUUCGCGAGGCAGGAAAAACCCCAUGCGGUGCAAGACAAAACAGAGGGAGGGCAGCCGGCCCGUUGAUCCUCGGGUAUCGUCGCAUCACGAUGCGCGCAAGCGUGUCGGGCGUUCAGCUCUGCGAAAAUCGGAACUGGAUGAGAUAAAUGAUCGUCGCGGCUGAGAGAUCAGCCGACAGAAUUCGGCUUACCGCCAUCAAAA
This 411-nucleotide RNase P RNA is filed under the name Verrucomicrobiota bacterium. RNAcentral's name for it is "Verrucomicrobia bacterium RNase P RNA component class A". It matches the Rfam family "Bacterial RNase P class A". From Rfam's summary of the family: Ribonuclease P (RNase P) is a ubiquitous endoribonuclease, found in archaea, bacteria and eukarya as well as chloroplasts and mitochondria. Its best characterised activity is the generation of mature 5'-ends of tRNAs by cleaving the 5'-leader elements of precursor-tRNAs. Cellular RNase Ps are ribonucleoproteins. The record is from RNAcentral. Lineage: Bacteria; Pseudomonadati; Verrucomicrobiota.